ACGCGUGGAACCUUACCAGGUCUUGACAUCCCGCUGCCCGGUAUAGAGAUAUACCUUUCCCUUCGGGGACAGCGGUGACAGGUGGUGCAUGGUUGUCGUCAGCUCGUGUCGUGAGAUGUUGGGUUAAGUCCCGCAACGAGCGCAACCCUUGAUCUUAGUUGCCAGCAUUAAGUUGGGCACUCUAAGGUGACUGCCGGUGAUAAACCGGAGGAAGGUGGGGAUGACGUCAAAUCAUCAUGCCCCUUAUGACCUGGGCUACACACGUGCUACAAUGGAUGGUACAAAGGGCUGCAAGACCGCGAGGUCAAGCCAAUCCCAUAAAACCAUUCUCAGUUCGGAUUGCAGGCUGCAACUCGCCUGCAUGAAGCCGGAAUCGCUAGUAAUCGCGGAUCAGCAUGCCGCGGUGAAUACGUUCCCGGGCCUUGCACUCACUGCCCGU
Molecule: ribosomal RNA, 439 nt
Filed under: uncultured bacterium
Lineage: Bacteria
Description: bacterial SSU rRNA
Rfam family: Bacterial small subunit ribosomal RNA
Source: RNAcentral